Raphanus sativus (radish) is the source of this 975-nucleotide long non-coding RNA. RefSeq lists it as uncharacterized. The record is from RefSeq and is a predicted model, not a curated record. The transcript has 3 exons. NCBI's taxonomy places the organism in Eukaryota, Viridiplantae, Streptophyta, Magnoliopsida, Brassicales, Brassicaceae.
AAGACCACUUCGCCCUGUAGAAACCUAAUCUGCGAUGAAGAGCACAUUUGUGUUCUCUUUCACAUCGAUCGGUGGAGGCGAUGACGUUCCAGUUCCGUAACGGGGGCGUUAUGAUUUCUUCGACUUUAAUCUCAUUGUCUUUAAUCCCAUUAAAUCGAACGCCUACUACGAUCUCUUCGGUUGAGUUGUUCAGUCGGCGAUCUCAUGUAUAAAUAGACGGCACAUAUGGACAAAUUAAACCCGCUUGAGAUCACAAGUCUGAUUCAGACGGCGCGGAUGGAGAUCUUCAAGGGCCUCAUAGACACAAAGGAGUGUGACAACGUUUAGCGUGAGUGUUAUCCAACUUGAAACUGCACUUUGUUUUAUCAUGUGUGUGUCAUACAUGGUUUGUGAUGCUGUUGGAGUAAAGGGAAGGAACAUUAUGAAAGCAUCUUCAACUGUCACUACUGAAAUUGUCGAUCACAGAUAAGUCUUUUUAAGGAGAAUACAAAAUCAAUUUUUGUACAGUGAUUCUGAUAUGUUUUUGUAGGAAUGGUGCAAAGACAGCAGAGGCGACAAACAGACAAACGCUGGGUUUGGAGCAGCAGGGCAUGCUCUUAGAACAACGUGGACAGUUUUCAUGAUCAGACAAGCUCUCCCAAAGAGUCUGUAAUAAAGAGUGUGUUUAAUUGAUGUCUAAAACCGCAGCCUAAUAAAAAAAAGGGAAAGGAGCUUUUUAAAUCAACCGAGAAAAAGAGUUAUAAGUGGAUAUUGUGGUUGUUUGUACAUCAGUUUCAUUGCCUUGGUGCAAAAGCAAUACCCAUUUAAAAAAUAGGUUUUGGUUAUUGUUGUUGGGGCAUGUGUUUCUUUUAGAAUCAAUAGCUAUAUGCAAACAUAGACACAAUAUUUUUUAUUGGGUAUGCUUAGUCACUGAGAAUGAUAGAUUUUUUGUAUGUCAUGCUGCUGUGUUUUUAUAAUCUCUUUUUAAGUUGUGGU